UACGGAGGGUGCGAGCGUUGUCCGGAAUCAUUGGGCGUAAAGGGCUCGUAGGCGGUUUGUCGCGUCAGGAGUGAAAACUCGGGGCUUAACCCCGAGCCUGCUUCUGAUACGGGCAGACUAGAGGUAUGCAGGGGAGAACGGAAUUCCUGGUGUAGCGGUGAAAUGCGCAGAUAUCAGGAGGAACACCGGUGGCGAAGGCGGUUCUCUGGGCAUUACCUGACGCUGAGGAGCGAAAGUGUGGGGAGCGAACAGG
Molecule: ribosomal RNA, 253 nt
Filed under: uncultured bacterium
Lineage: Bacteria
Description: partial 16S ribosomal RNA
Rfam family: Bacterial small subunit ribosomal RNA
Source: RNAcentral